Molecule: unclassified non-coding RNA, 404 nt
Filed under: soil metagenome
Description: partial contains 5.8S ribosomal RNA, internal transcribed spacer 2, and large subunit ribosomal RNA
Rfam family: 5.8S ribosomal RNA (bases 1-122)
Source: RNAcentral
GAUGAAGAACGUAGCAAAAUGCGAUACUUGGUGUGAAUUGCAGAAUCCCGUGAACCAUCGAGUUUUUGAACGCAAGUUGCGCCCGAAGCCUUUUGGCCGAGGGCACGUCUGCCUGGGCGUCACGCAUCGCGUCGCCCCCCACAAUUCUCCGUAAAGGGAACAUGUGUUUUGGGGGCGGAUAUUGGUCUCCCGUGCUCAUGGCGUGGUUUGCCGAAAUAGGAGUCCUUUCGAUGGACGCACGAACUAGUGGUGGUCGUAAAAACCCUCGUCUUUUGUUUCGUGCUGUUGCUCGCAAGGUAAACUCUUUAAAAACCCCAAUGUGUCGUCUCUUGACGACGCUUCGACCGCGACCCCAGGUCAGGCGGGACUACCCGCUGAGUUUAAGCAUAUCAAUAAGCGGAGGA